GAGUUUGUAUCCUGGCUCAGGAUGAACGCUAGCGGCAGGCCUAACACAUGCAAGUCGAGGGGCAGCACGGUGUAGCAAUACACUGGUGGCGACCGGCGUCACGGGUGCGUAACGCGUAUGCAACCUACCCAUUAACCAGGGGGAUAACGACUGAGAAAUUGGUACUAAUACCCCAUAACAUCAGGACCGGCAUCGGUUCUGGUUGAAAACGUACCGGUGGUUUAUGGGUAGUGGGGCAUGCGUUGUAUUAGC
Molecule: ribosomal RNA, 252 nt
Filed under: uncultured bacterium
Lineage: Bacteria
Description: partial 16S ribosomal RNA
Rfam family: Bacterial small subunit ribosomal RNA
Source: RNAcentral